CACUGAUUUGUGUCCCCUCCCCAUUUAUUCUCUGUUUUUGGGGCGGGGGUCCCGACUGAUUUACCCCUCCCCCGUUUAUUCUCUCUCUCAUUUUGAGGAGGGGUCUCUCCUGCAUUUUCCCCCCCAUUUCUCAUUUUGGGGAGGGGUCCCGCACUGAUUUACCCCUCCCCCCAUUUUUCUCUCUCAUUUUGGGGAGGGGUUCCCCUGUUUCCCACCCCCCAUUUCUCAUUUUGAGGAGGGGUCUCCCCAUUUCUCUCUCUCAUUUUGAGGAGGGGUCUCCCCAUGUCUCCCCCCCCAGCCCUACGAGCUUCCGGACGGUUCCAUCGCCGUCAGCAUCCGGAACCAGAACCAGUUCCGGUGCCGGUGCCGGAUGGUGGCGCGGAGCUGGGACGGGGGGGAGACGCUGCCCCCGGCCGCCGUGACCUUUGACCCCGCGCUGCCCGACCCGGCCGUGGCCGCGGGGGCCGCGGUCACCCAGGGGCUGCUCCUGUUCAGUAACCCCGCCCACGAGAGCCUGCG
RNAcentral lists this long non-coding RNA (519 nucleotides) under Parus major (Great Tit). RNAcentral describes it as "lncRNA (ENSPMJG00000002229.1)". Lineage: Eukaryota; Metazoa; Chordata; Aves; Passeriformes; Paridae. The record is from RNAcentral.